Molecule: long non-coding RNA, 1699 nt
Organism: Gallus gallus (chicken)
Lineage: Eukaryota; Metazoa; Chordata; Aves; Galliformes; Phasianidae
Exons: 3
Source: RefSeq, a predicted model, not a curated record
GGGAGAAGGGAGAGACAUGGGGCUAUGCAGGGGCAUGCAGAGCCCUGGGGAAGACUGUGCCCUGCCUGGUGGUGACAAGGAGGAGCUGGGCUGGCAGAGGAGGUGAUGGGAGAGCUCUGGAUGAGCAGAACCUGCUGCAUGUGCAGUGGGCACAAAAGCAUCCCAAGAACGUGGGCACGGCUCCUCCUUGACCACAGAAAGCACCGCGACAGCCAAAGGGAACAACCAAAGGAAGCCGCUGUCUGCCAGACCCGCGCAACCCAGAGUCGGCCCAGCUCUGAUCUACCGCUGGUUGCAGUGGGGAGAAUGUCUCUGGACACAAAUGGCAGACUGGAGGCAGGGGACCAGAUUCCCUCUAUCAACGGACCAUGACAGCUGCAAAACCCCAGCCUGAAUCUCCUUUCCUGCACAAAGGUAGGAACUGGGGGCAAACUCUACUCUCUUAAGCUCUAAGACAAAUGAGGAUCGGGCUGUGCUUUGAUUCCCCAUCACAGAUGCUAUGUUCUGGGGUGAUGGAGGUGGUCAGCUCAGCCCUGCCCCUGUAGAGGCACAGAUGUGGUGGCUGCUCUGUAGUUUAUAUUUCUUUACCUACUUAUUACCCGGUGCUCAGGGCUGAUGUGAAAACACUAUGAGGGCAUUGAUUCUAUCCAGGGAGAAGGGAUAACCCUGAAAUGCAGGGUGCUUUCCAGGUUGCUCAGAGCAGCUUGGCCCUUCACCCCCAACACUGUGCUGCUGCCUCCCUGCCCACCCCAGAUGGACAACACUCACAAAUCAUAUGUGAGAUAGGCACUAAGCACACCACCCACGUACACAUAGCGCUUGCAGAAAACAAACAGUAACAACAAAACAGGCCUAAAAUAUUGCUGUGGGUGAGCAUGGAUAAAAAUCAGAUGACCCCAAGCGUGCGGCAGAGAGGUGGUUCCCCAUUGUGGACAUAGUGGUGAUGGGAGCACUGGGUGGCCAACAACCACCCCAUGCACACUGUAGGUUAUGUAUAUGGGUGAGGAGAGCUUUUGGGCAGAGCAGAAGAUUACCCAGAGCCCAUGGAAUUUGGAGAUAAACCCCCAGCUUCCCGAGCGGGGUACCUCCCUGCAUACAGCGAGAUAUUCAUAAACAUGUAAUCAAGUUUCCUCAUCCCUUUGACUGGCUUCUGGCAGCUCCCCCAGACAGACUGUUACUAACAUACUGUGGGUGUAAAUCGUCCUCCUGGGAAAUAUCAGGCCCAGAAAGCAUGGCAAUGGGAGGAAUGCGUGUCUAAUUCCCCCAUGAGAAGCUUAAAAAAAAACGUCCUGCUGUUAAGUUUUAUCUGCUCGUUUCCAAAAGAAAAGAGAAAAUGAUGUCUCCUUGUUCGCAGGGGAGGGGAGGAGGAACCCCCAGGAGAAAGCACAAAAGUUUUCCUCCACGGGGUGAUUGCAGAAAUUAGGAAGGGGUGUUACAGGCGUGUGCGAGCUCCAUUCUCUGCCCUCUAUUUGUGCAGAGCUGCUUGGGGAUCGUUGGUGUGUGCCAGCUCCCUCUGAACGCUGCCCUUGAGCAGGCAGCCAGCCUGCAGCUCAGCACCAGAGCUGGGACUUGGGGCAGGAUUUGGAGAGCCAGCAAAGGCAGAGGCAGCCCCCUGGGGGAGGUUGGGUAGGAAGGUGAGCAAAACCUGACCUGUCCUCUUCCAUUGUGCCUUUUUGGAGGAAAAAAAAAAAAAGAAAAA